AAAGUGAUCACCUCGCUUUCCCUGCAG
This 27-nucleotide non-coding RNA is filed under the name Cricetulus griseus (Chinese hamster). The record is from RNAcentral. Lineage: Eukaryota; Metazoa; Chordata; Mammalia; Rodentia; Cricetidae.